CUCACGCGUUGGGACUCUCCCAUAUGGUCGACCUGCAGGCGGCCGCGAAUUCACUAGUGAUUUACGGUUACCUUGUUACGACUUCACCCCAAUCAUCUAUCCCACCUUAGGCGGCUGGCUCCAAAAGGUUACCUCACCGACUUCGGGUGUUACAAACUCUCGUGGUGUGACGGGCGGUGUGUACAAGGCCCGGGAACGUAUUCACCGCGGCGUGCUGAUCCGCGAUUACUAGCGAUUCCGACUUCAUGUAGGCGAGUUGCAGCCUACAAUCCGAACUGAGAUUGGCUUUAAGAGGUUAGCUUGCCGUCACCGACUCGCAACUCGUUGUACCAACCAUUGUAGCACGUGUGUAGCCCAGGUCAUAAGGGGCAUGAUGAUUUGACGUCAUCCCCACCUUCCUCCGGUUUAUUACCGGCAGUCUCGCUAGAGUGCCCAACUGAAUGAUGGCAACUAACAAUAGGGGUUGCGCUCGUUGCGGGACUUAACCCAACAUCUCACGACACGAGCUGACGACAACCAUGCACCACCUGUCACCGAUGUACCGAAGUAACUUUCUAUCUCUAGAAAUAGCAUCGGGAUGUCAAGACCUGGUAAGGUUCUUCGCGUUGCUUCGAAUUAAACCACAUGCUCCACCGCUUGUGCGGGCCCCCGUCAAUUCCUUUGAGCUUCAACCUUGCGGUCGUACUCCCCAGGCGGAGUGCUUAAUGCGUUAGCUGCGGCACUGAAUCCCGGAAAGGAUCCAACACCUAGCACUCAUCGUUUACGGCGUGGACUACCAGGGUAUCUAAUCCUGUUCGCUCCCCACGCUUUCGAGCCUCAGCGUCAGUUACAGACCAGAGAGCCGCUUUCGCCACCGGUGUUCCUCCAUAUAUCUACGCAUUUCACCGCUACACAUGGAAUUCCACUCUCCCUUCUGCACUCAAGUUUGACAGUUUCCAAAGCGAACUAUGGUUGAGCCACAGCCUUUAACUUCAGACUUAUCAAACCGCCUGCGCUCGCUUUACGCCCAAUAAAUCCGGACAACGCUCGGGACCUACGUAUUACCGCGGCUGCUGGCACGUAGUUAGCCGUCCCUUUCUGGUAAGCUACCGUCACAGUGUGAGUUUUCCACUCUCACACUCGUUCUUGACUUACAACAGAGCUUUACGAUCCGAAAACCUUCUUCACUCACGCGGCGUUGCUCGGUCAGGGUUGCCCCCAUUGCCGAAGAUUCCCUACUGCUGCCUCCCGUAGGAGUCUGGGCCGUGUCUCAGUCCCAGUGUGGCCGAUCACCCUCUCAGGUCGGCUAUGUAUCGUCGCCUAGGUGAGCCGUUACCUCACCUACUAGCUAAUACAACGCAGGUCCAUCUUGUAGUGGAGCAAUUGCCCCUUUCAAAUAAAUGACAUGUGUCAUCCAUUGUUAUGCGGUAUUAGCUAUCGUUUCCAAUAGUUAUCCCCCGCUACAAGGCAGGUUACCUACGCGUUACUCACCCGUUCGCAACUCAUCCAAGAAGAGCAAGCUCCUCUCUUCAGCGUUCUACUUGCAUGUAUUAGGCACGCCGCCAGCGUUCGUCCUGAGCCAUGAUCAAACUCUAAUCGAAUUCCCGCGGCCGCCAUGGCGG
RNAcentral lists this ribosomal RNA (1601 nucleotides) under Streptococcus salivarius. RNAcentral's name for it is "16S ribosomal RNA". Lineage: Bacteria; Bacillati; Bacillota; Bacilli; Lactobacillales; Streptococcaceae. The record is from RNAcentral.